CAAUAGCGUAUAUUAAAGUUGUUGCAGUUAAAAAGCUCGUAGUUGGAUUUGUGGCGUAUGGUGUGUUCCGGGCACUUGUUGUCUGAGUAACUUGCCAUUGCCAUCCUUGGGUGGAACCUGUGUGGCAUUAGGUUGUCGUGCAGGGGAUGCCCAUCGUUUACUGUGAAAAAAUUAGAGUGUUCAAAGCAGGCUUAUGCCGUUGAAUAUAUUAGCAUGGAAUAAUAAGAUAGGACUUUUUUGCUAUUUUGUUGGUUUGCGCAAGAAGGUAAUGAUUAAUAGGGAUAGUUGGGGGUAUUCGUAUUCCAUUGUCAGAGGUGAAAUUCUUGGAUUUUUGGAAGACGAACUACUGCGAAAGCAUUUACCAAGGAUGUUUNCAUUA
RNAcentral lists this ribosomal RNA (379 nucleotides) under uncultured eukaryote. Its description in RNAcentral is "partial 18S ribosomal RNA". It matches the Rfam family "Eukaryotic small subunit ribosomal RNA", at positions 592 to 975 of the family's 1831-position model. The record is from RNAcentral.